This 402-nucleotide ribosomal RNA is filed under the name Bacteroidota bacterium. RNAcentral's name for it is "Bacteroidetes bacterium partial 16S ribosomal RNA". It matches the Rfam family "Bacterial small subunit ribosomal RNA", at positions 355 to 776 of the family's 1533-position model. Lineage: Bacteria; Pseudomonadati; Bacteroidota. The record is from RNAcentral.
UGGGGAAUUUUGCACAAUGGGGGAAACCCUGAUGCAGCGACGCCGCGUGAUUUAGAAGGCCUUCGGGUUGUAAAAAUCUUUUCUAUGGGAAGAAAAUGACAGUACCAUAGGAAUAAGGACCGGCUAAUUACGUGCCAGCAGCCGCGGUAAUACGUAAGGUCCGAGCGUUGUCCGGAAUCAUUGGGCGUAAAGGGUACGUAGGCGGGUAAGCAAGUUAGAAGUGAAAUCCUGUAGCUCAACUACAGUAAGCUUUUAAAACUGCUCAUCUUGAGAUAUGGAAGGGAAAGUGGAAUUCCUAGUGUAGCGGUGAAAUGCGCAGAUAUUAGGAGGAAUACCGGUGGCGAAGCCGACUUUCUGGCCAUAUUCUGACGCUGAGGUACGAAAGCGUGGGUAGCAAACAGG